This 640-nucleotide long non-coding RNA is filed under the name Physcomitrium patens. Its description in RNAcentral is "long non-coding RNA (PPAT_LNC008218)". The record is from RNAcentral. Lineage: Eukaryota; Viridiplantae; Streptophyta; Bryopsida; Funariales; Funariaceae.
AGCUCUCCGUCGGUGGCACCGUGGGGAAGAAGGCCCUCGUGGCUAUCGCCCCCUUUUGAAUCCCCUCUUCUUCUUCUUCUUCCCGCUUUCGCCCUCCGUCACUUCCUUUUUGGUUCACUGCUCCCCUUUUUGUAAUUCCUCUCGUUCUUUUGCAUCUUUCUCAAUCGUUGUGUGUGUCUUUGGGAAAAAGUGCCUAAGUAAAAGUAAAAUAUUUUUUAAUAAUACGUAUAUAUGUGUGUAUGUAUGUAUGUAUGUGUAUAAACAUGCGUAUGUGUGUAUGUGUGUAUAAACAUAUGUAUGUGUGUAUAUGUAUAUGUAUAAACACAUAAUUUAGUUUUGAUACUCAUACAUUAGAUAAUUGUAAAAAUAUAAAUACUUUGCAUUGGAUCAAUUCAGUUAUUUAAACUAAAAUUCAGUAUAUCACCUUAGUUAUUUGCUAUUGAUUCAGAUUUAUACUUUUCUAAUGCACACUUGAAAGAAUAUAAUUGUAUUUUAAUGAAAUAUGAGUUAAAGUGAAAAAUAUAUGUGACUCUUGAAACAAUUAUAUUAAUUUGAUGUAAAGUAGGUAAUUAUAUUAUUUAUGGGCAUGUUCAAAAAAAUUUAAAAAUGCAAAAUCAAACAUAAAAAUUAUUAUCCAACU